AUUCUCUGUGUUUGUACACACACGUCUUCGAAGAGACAAAAUAUAAUGGGUCUAUUGGUACUUUACAUGAUCAUUAGGAUCUUGCAAAGGAAACCCAAAAACAGAUCCUCAAUGCUCCACGCCCUGGCUUCUCUUCAGGGAUCCUGAGACCCAGGGCGCUGGACUUAACUUGCCAAAAACUCCCCAAGUCGGACUUGGUAUGCACAAGAAAGCACUUCCCUCUUGUUAAAUGACCUCGCCUCAUCAUGGAACCAUAAAAAGAAAGCUUUCAGAUCAUUUGUCUCCAUCACGAAAAUUUAUAAAAAUGAGGUUUUUUAUUUUUUUUUAAAAAAAGUUAAAUUAUUUUGGCCUGUGAGUUUCAGAUGGGGUUGUGUAUUUCCCUAAAGGGUCAAAAAUAGAACAUUUAUUAAAUGGCAAGUUAUUCAAAAACCAGCACAGGCCCCAGUUGUCUUUCAAAAGCUCUGAUUUACUGGAUAUUUCUCCCUUGAGAGAGGCCUUUUUAAAAUGUUCAUUUCCAUUUUAAGAGACGGAGGGCUUUGAUCUGUUGGGAGCAUUCUUUUUCUUUCCCUGAGUGGGACCUGUCGACUCCUCCAGGCAGAACUGGAGCCUUGCUCUCAGGGUCUGUAUUUUUCCACGGACUUCCCAGGCAUCCAGACAGCAUCUCUCAAAUCGGCAUUCACCCCGGUCAAUCUGGAAGUCAGCAUUGGUGAGUCCCUACCCAGGGGACAUGUGGUCUCAUGUUUUUGUCACACCUAAAUCAGAACCCAGUUUCCAGGACAUAAGGCAAAGAUCUACAAGAACCCUGAAGUUCCUAUUAUUUUGAAACUGAGAA
RNAcentral lists this long non-coding RNA (832 nucleotides) under Bos indicus x Bos taurus (hybrid cattle). RNAcentral's name for it is "lncRNA (ENSBIXG00005028554.1)". Lineage: Eukaryota; Metazoa; Chordata; Mammalia; Artiodactyla; Bovidae. The record is from RNAcentral.